RNAcentral lists this long non-coding RNA (1042 nucleotides) under Anser brachyrhynchus (Pink-footed goose). RNAcentral's name for it is "lncRNA (ENSABRG00000020346.1)". The record is from RNAcentral. Lineage: Eukaryota; Metazoa; Chordata; Aves; Anseriformes; Anatidae.
UUUUUUUUUUUUUAAAGCUACUAUGCCUGCUUUUCUGAUUUCACAGAUUUCUGAAUUCUUGGGAGCAGCAGCUUAUCAUGCCGAGGUCACCUGUUCAUCUGUUUGUUCCAGUACAGCAGUGUCAUUACUGUGUUGCUCUCCAGCAUUAGGCUGCAGCUCGGAAGAGGCAAGAGCCGUGUUCAGCACAGGCUCAAAUGUUUCAUGGCCAACGAGGGUGCAGAAACCACAGCGUGGGGAUCUCAUUUGAUGGCGUUGCAGCUGGCUGCAUAGCCUGCCACAGGAGUUAGGAGGAGACGAGGAGCUGCCUGUGGGAGGGUUGUGUCACCGGGGACGUAUGGCCUUGUCCUGCAGGCACCACGGAGGCUGGUCCCUGGGUGAGCUUGGCAGUGACUACACACCUUCUCAUCCCCAAAGCCCUUGAGCCUACACGAGCAUCGCCCACCUCCUGGCUCACUGCAGUGACCAGCUGGGUGCAGCAAGGGGUCUGGACGAGCACCAGGUUGUCCCCAGCUCCAUCCCCUUUUGCCUUUCCAUCUCCUUCUUUUUUUUUUUUCCUUGCCCUGCGCCUUUUCAUUCAUCUCCUCUCUUCCCUUGGCUAAUUCAUGCUUUUCCAGGCGCUUUUUAUCACUGCCACCGUUUCCCCCGCUUGCCCUUGAUCCAUGGUGCAGUAACAAGGGUGUCGGUGGGGGGGUGGCAGAUGGCGGCGGCGGCGGGGCCGGGCCGGGGCUCAUCCAUCACCGCCGGGCCAGCGCUGGAAGGGCUGAGCCGAAGCAAGGUAAUUGUUGGCGGAGAGGAGGCAUUUUUCACCGCUGACGAGGAGGAGAGGUGCGGGGUUGUGCUAAUGCCAUGGUGAAGGAUUAAUUCAUCACGGUUUCUCUUUUUUUCUUUAAUUCAUCCCUUCUCGAUCAGCGCCGCAAUCCUCCCAAAUGCCAGGCAGCUGGGAAGUCUCCAGCCGAAACCUCUCCACCGAGCGGAGCCGAUGGGAAGCAGCUGAGACCGGUGCUGCUCUUGUCAUUAUCAUCCCCAUCACUGAAGUCAAAGG